AUACGCAUCGCGAAAAGCUUAUGCCGAGACGAGGCCAAGAAUCAAAGGAAGAUUCGCGAAGCGAAUAGAUAUUGAAGUAGAAGCAGAUCGAGGCAGUAUCUACGGAUUCGUGGUUCCAUCCUUUUAAUCCCUCUGUAACAAAUAAAAUUUUUUGUUGCUGUUGUCGUUGUUGUUGACGUGUUAAAAGCAGUGUAUAUAAGUAGUUGAAGCCUGGUGCUUGAUCGAUGGAUUGGCGACCGUCGAUCUUGUAGUAGUUUUGUGCAAUAAUGAGUUUUGCUUUUUUUUUUUUUUUUUA
RNAcentral lists this unclassified non-coding RNA (295 nucleotides) under Hevea brasiliensis (rubber tree). The record is from RNAcentral. Lineage: Eukaryota; Viridiplantae; Streptophyta; Magnoliopsida; Malpighiales; Euphorbiaceae.